CAGCCUGAGAAACGGCUACCACAUCCACGGAAGGCAGCAGGUGCGCAAAUUACCCAAUCCUGACUCAGGGAGGUAGUAAACAGMAAUAACGAUAGUUCAGCCUUCAUGGUUGACAUUCGGAAUGAGUACAAUCUAAAAACCUUAACGACCAUCCAGCGGUGGGCAAGCCUGGUGC
RNAcentral lists this ribosomal RNA (175 nucleotides) under uncultured eukaryote. RNAcentral's name for it is "partial 18S ribosomal RNA". It matches the Rfam family "Eukaryotic small subunit ribosomal RNA", at positions 394 to 569 of the family's 1831-position model. The record is from RNAcentral.